Molecule: non-coding RNA, 708 nt
Organism: Pelobates cultripes (western spadefoot toad)
Lineage: Eukaryota; Metazoa; Chordata; Amphibia; Anura; Pelobatidae
Source: the annotation of a GenBank genome assembly
ACUGUCUCAAGUGUCCCUCCUCCUCCCUUAGUUGUUUCUGGACAGGAAGAGUAUGGGGUCUCCUCCAUAAUUGAUUCCAGGUUUUCUUGGGGCACUUUACAGUACUUGGUGGAUUGGAAAGGUUAUGGACCAGCCGAUCGUUCUUGGGUUCUGGCAUCUGAUAUACAUGCUGGCCGCAAGAUUCGCUAUUUUCACGCCAAAUUUCCUCUCAAGCCUGGUCCUGCCCGCCCGGUAGGCGUUCUUCAGGUGUGGGGUAAUGUCACGUAUUCAUCCGCUUAUAAAAAUGUGGUUAAUUGCAUUUACUGUCAGGAAAAGUUGUGCCGAGCAGCAACCAAAUCCAGAGAAGGGUUAAUGCUGAGCAGCAAUUAUGCAAAUAGGAACCUGGUAACUGACUUUGGGGUCAAAGGCCGGUUACAGCCUAUCGGAUCUAGAGGAGGGGUAUUUAGGCCCAGUUCUCAUCCUUCUCAGUGCCCUGUCGUGGUUUCCCUUGUGCUUGUCCGAGAGCGCGUUAUUGAUUCUGGUUAUUUGACUUCCCUGUUUUCUGGCAUCCCUGACUCCUGGCUUUUCCUUAUCGUUGUGUCUCUUUCUGUAUCCCUUGACCUUGGCUAUUCCUGACUAUUCUUUGGUACGUUAGUCUGGCCAUUCUAAGGUCCGAUAUACGUUACUUAUCAGUCCUCUGUGUUACACAAUUCUACGUGCUGAUCAUAC